GAUAAGUGGAUUGUUGGUGUGAAGGAGGUCAUGUGUUCAAAUCUUGGUGUGGGUAUUAUUUUUGCUCGUGGGUCCAGGAGAGUUUGAGAUGGACUAAAAAUCUGAGUAGUGGAUUUAAUGGAGAGUUUGAUGGAGAGAAAUAAGGGAUUGGGGUGGUUAUCAAAUAUUCUAUUCAUAUAUUUUUUUCUUUUUUUUUUACUUUCCCCAAAAUCCCUCCACCCUCUUGUCGUUUUUCUCUUCAUUGCUGCCGAAUUUCUACUCUCUUUCACCUUUCAUCUUCUUGAUUUUUCUUUUCGCACUCUGCCUCGUGUCACUCCACGUUUGUCUGUGAUCGUUCGAUAAGUUUUAGAUAAGUGAUUUGUCUCCGUUUGUUAACUUUCUUCUAAAGUGUUUUGUUU
Molecule: long non-coding RNA, 398 nt
Filed under: Gossypium raimondii (Peruvian cotton)
Lineage: Eukaryota; Viridiplantae; Streptophyta; Magnoliopsida; Malvales; Malvaceae
Description: long non-coding RNA (GRAI_LNC007343)
Source: RNAcentral